This is a small nuclear RNA of Acomys russatus (golden spiny mouse), 105 nucleotides long. NCBI's taxonomy places the organism in Eukaryota, Metazoa, Chordata, Mammalia, Rodentia, Muridae. The record is from RefSeq and is a predicted model, not a curated record.
AUGCUCACUUCGCCAGCACGUGUACUAAAACUGAAGCGCUACGGAGAUUAGCAUGGCCCCUGUGCAAGGACGACAGCAUAUGCUAACAAGAGAAGACAAAUUAAU